UGGGGAAUAUUGGACAAUGGGCGAAAGCCUGAUCCAGCCAUGCCGCGUGAGUGAUGAAGGCCCUAGGGUUGUAAAGCUCUUUCACCGGUGAAGAUAAUGACGGUAACCGGAGAAGAAGCCCCGGCUAACUUCGUGCCAGCAGCCGCGGUAAUACGAAGGGGGCUAGCGUUGUUCGGAAUUACUGGGCGUAAAGCGCACGUAGGCGGACUAUUAAGUCAGGGGUGAAAUCCCGGGGCUCAACCCCGGAACUGCCUUUGAUACUGGUAGUCUCGAGUCCGGAAGAGGUGAGUGGAAUUCCGAGUGUAGAGGUGAAAUUCGUAGAUAUUCGGAGGAACACCAGUGGCGAAGGCGGCUCACUGGUCCGGUACUGACGCUGAGGUGCGAAAGCGUGGGGAGCAAACAGGAUUAGAGACCCGUGUAG
RNAcentral lists this ribosomal RNA (421 nucleotides) under uncultured bacterium. RNAcentral's name for it is "bacterial SSU rRNA". It matches the Rfam family "Bacterial small subunit ribosomal RNA", at positions 355 to 793 of the family's 1533-position model. The record is from RNAcentral.